Molecule: long non-coding RNA, 816 nt
Organism: Mauremys reevesii (Reeves's turtle)
Lineage: Eukaryota; Metazoa; Chordata; Testudines; Geoemydidae
Exons: 3
Source: RefSeq, a predicted model, not a curated record
CAGCCCAGCCCAAGCUGGGAGAUGGACCAGCCAUGUGUAGAAGACCCCGGGGACCACACAGUGGGCAACAGCGGGCUUCCCCAGAGCAGCCUCCCAGCAUUUUCAGGAUCAUGGAGUGAGGUUGAAAGAAAUGUAACAAACUGAGAAAUAGGACAUGAAAGAGGACGAUUCAGUAACUAAUCAUCAGCUGAGUGUCUUCAUUUCAGUACAUUUGGGGCUCAAAGAAGAUGCAAGAUUUGGAAACUACAAGUUCCAAGAUGCUGACAACUGUAAAGGGAAUCAAGGAGACUCUUAAGAAGCUGAUAACUGGAACAACUGCUGUUUUGUUUCUUAAUUUGUUUUAGGGGAUUAAGAUGUGAUCCUUGUUCAGACUCAGACCACAACUCGUGGUAGUUGGUAUGUGUCAAAGGGAGUUUAUCUGAACAAGACCUGAAGCAUUCCAAGGGAAAAUACCUUGAUCUGGGACUAUGUAACAUUAGCCAACUGUUUUUACGUUUAACUUGGCAAAGCAUUAAUGUUCAAUCUGAUGUGUAUAUACAGGGGUGACAGUCCUUGUGAUAUUUGCUCUUUUGCAUAUGUAAAAAAUAAAAUAAAGAAAAAAAACGCAAUAGGAUAUAUGUAUGCUUGGAGAAGAUCCUAAAUUUAGGAGAAAUAGGUGGCAAAUUGGUGACAGCAGUUAUACUAUCCUUACAGCACAGAUUUCACAAAUCACAUUUCAUGUUCACUUUUCUAAAGAAAAAUGCUGCCACCUGAAAAGAAAUAGGUGAAGAAUAAAUGAUCCAUUUUUUAACUACAGAUAUGACACUGCAUAGUGUA